Molecule: ribosomal RNA, 439 nt
Filed under: uncultured bacterium
Lineage: Bacteria
Description: partial 16S ribosomal RNA
Rfam family: Bacterial small subunit ribosomal RNA
Source: RNAcentral
CUACGGGUUGCUGCAGUGAGGAAUAUUGCACAAUGGGGGGAACCCUGAUGCAGCAACGCCGCGAGGAGGAUGACGCAUUUCGGUGUGUAAACUCCUUUUAUAUGUCAAGAAAAUGACGGUAGCAUAUGAAUAAGCACCGGCUAACUCCGUGCCAGCAGCCGCGGUAAUACAGAGGGUGCAAGCGUUACUCGGAAUCACUGGGCGUAAAGGACGCGUAGGCGGGUUGGAAAGUCAGGUGUGAAAUCCUACAGCUUAACUGUAGAACUGCACUUGAAACUUCUAAUCUAGAGUAUGGGAGGGGGAGAUGGAAUUAGUGGUGUAGGGGUAAAAUCCGUAGAUAUCACUAGGAAUACCUAAAGCGAAGGCGAUCUCCUGGAACAUUACUGACGCUAAGGCGUGAAAGCGUGGGGAGCAAACAGGAUUAGAUACCCGGGUAGUC